GGAUCAUUGUCGCCACUUGCUCAAGCAGAACAACUUGUGAACAUGUAAUCACAACCGAUGAACUAAGGGGCCGUCGCAUUUGGCGGGCAACCUCUGUUCUCAAUGUCAAGGCAUGCUUGGUCAUAUCGCAGCCCAUUAACGCUUGCCGUUUGAGUUGCGGUUGCCCGGCUUGACUUGAUAUAAAACAAAAACCCGGCGUGAAAUGCGCCAAGGAAUGUAAAAGAGUGUGCAUCCGUCCCGUGUUUUGCUUGCAUAAUAUUUCGGAACGAUGUUAUCUUCUUGAUGUUUAUAAUGACUCUCGGCAACGGAUAUCUCGGCUCUUACAUCGAUGAAGAACGUAGCGAAAUGCGAUACUUGGUGUGAAUUGCAGAAUCCCGUGAAUCAUCGAGUCUUUGAACGCAAGUUGCGCCCGAAUCCAUCCGGUCGAGGGCACGUCUGCCUGGGUGUCACGUACACACGGCUCCGCUAGCCCUCUCCUUUAAGGUUUGGCGGGACAUGUGCGAGCAGAGAUUGGUCUCCCGUGCUUUUAAAUUGCGCGGUUAGCCUAAAAAUGAGUACCGGUGGUGAAGUUUCACGCCAAGUGGUGGUUCAUAAACCUUAUGGGUUUUGCCAGUUCGAGUCGUGAAAGCCCAUCACUCGGAAAGCUUGAUAGACACCUUGAACGUCUAAUUGACGCUAUGUCGCGACCCCA
RNAcentral lists this unclassified non-coding RNA (691 nucleotides) under Saxifraga fortunei var. incisolobata. Its description in RNAcentral is "partial miscellaneous RNA". The stretch from base 294 to 449 matches the Rfam family "5.8S ribosomal RNA". Lineage: Eukaryota; Viridiplantae; Streptophyta; Magnoliopsida; Saxifragales; Saxifragaceae. The record is from RNAcentral.